GACGAACGCUGGCGGCGUGCUUAAUACAUGCCAGUCGAACGGACAGGCCCUGCGUUUGUGGGGUGCUCGAUUGGCGAACGGGUGUGUAACACGUGUGUAACCCGCCCUUGUCUUUGGGAUAACUUCUGGAAACUGCGGCUAAUACCGGAGAGGAUCUUCUGAAGCAUGGUGUGGGUUGGAAAGUUUCGGCGGUUGGGGAUGGACUCGAGGCUUAUCCGCUUGUUUGGGUGGUAGUGGAUUACCAAGGCUUUGACGGGUAGCCGGCCUGGGAGGGUGACCGGCCACAUUGGGACUGAGGUAGGGCCCAGACGCCUACGGGAGGCAGCAGGGGGAAGUCUUGCAGAGUGGGGGGAAGCGUGAUGCAGAGGCGCUGCGUGCGGGAUGACGGGUUACGGGGUGUAAACAGAUGUGGAAGGAGACGAAGCGUGCGUGACGGUAAUGGGUAAAGAAGCACCGGCUAACUACGUG
Molecule: ribosomal RNA, 468 nt
Filed under: uncultured bacterium
Lineage: Bacteria
Description: partial 16S ribosomal RNA
Rfam family: Bacterial small subunit ribosomal RNA
Source: RNAcentral